UCUCACAAUUGUUUCUCCUUCAAAGAACUCUCCAAACCGAAUACAUGUCUCCAAAGGGCGAAAUCUAGUGACUAAAAUAGAUUUAGCGCUAAAAAUCACAUUUGGAUAAUUCUGUCCCUGAAGCUUCGCACCAAAAUGCCCCUCUGAAUCUUCAAUCAUCUACAGCAGCCUCUCACCGCGAUUCUGCUGCGGUCACGGUGGAACUGCGACAAUUCCCCUUCUCUGAAGUUGCAGCCUUUUUCCGCGUGGUUCACUUGAGCUAUUUCACAGUUGACCUCUUUUUCUUCUUUUUUGACUCCAAAAGUACUCCCUAGCCUUCCCUUAGUCAUAUAUAACCUGCAAAUCAUAGAAAACACUCAUAAGAGCAUUUUGUUAUCACUUUCAUUACCAAAACUAUGCCAGAAGGUGGUUAUUUAAGGCCUGAAUAUAAUUAAAUUCACCUAUUAUCAACAUCCCACACUUAAACCUUUGCUCGUCCUUGAGCAACCUAAACCACACUUCUAGGCCUAACCAUUUGUUGCAUUACCUAAAGUUAUGUCACACCUUCCAUUUUGACGAACCAACCUAAGCAGUGCAACAGUCAUACCCAAGAUGCAGACUCUACUGACAUGACAUACUCGUGCUCACUCUAGUUACUCUACAACGGUGACGACUUACUUUUUCUUCAUGAGUCACAAGCCCUCACAUCAACAGUCUGAGAGAAGUUCCAUACCCAUAAAAUUCAAACAUAAGGAACCAAAGAUAGAAAGAAUUCACUCACUCUCAGCAAAGAACAUUCAUAUGCCAUACAGACACACCAUAAGCUUGCCCCUAGUGUAGUACCCUAUUAAUCGAGCUAUUUUAGUCAAACAUCAAGAGGUCUUCAUUUGGUUGUAAUGUAGGCUAAGGUAUGGGUAGGAUACAUUUGGCUGUAGUGACUAGCCUCCCUAAGAACUUUUAAUACACACUUCCUUUUAUAUCAAUUUCCAUGCUUAGCCUAAUCAUUCUUCCACAAUUUUGUUUCACAGGAGACCCCUACUUUCCUUUAGGUGCAACUGGCUUCUUGUUUUCUCUUUUUUUUCUUUCUCUUGUUUUGUUUUGCAUGUCUCAUUUUUUUUCUUUUUUUUAUAAUGUCAAUUCACCAAUCAAAUGAUUCAUUCCUGAUUCCCCUUUUUCUAUAACUCCCUACUACCCCACACUUUGACUUUUGUAUGUUCUUUUAGCGAUAGUGCUUCUACGAGGUAUAGUUUCAAAUAAUUAGCUAUUUAAACACAAAGAUAUAGGCCAUUAUAGGGUUAUCAAAGAACAUGUUUCAGACUCAAAGGGUUGAAUAUGGUAAUAUAAAACACUUUGAGCUCUAUGAAAGCAAGAUAGUUCUUUUUCAACUCUCUCAAAAUGGAAUCUAUCUCUACAACCAAACAGCUUCUAUUUCGCUUUGCAAAUACACAGGGAAAGUUCUAGGUAUUGUAUGCAAGCAUAGAAUGCAAGUAAACUCUCACACACUCUUAGCAUGUAACUCAUUCUGAAUCAGUUUAUCAAC
RNAcentral lists this long non-coding RNA (1519 nucleotides) under Nicotiana benthamiana. RNAcentral describes it as "long non-coding RNA (NBEN_LNC013845)". The record is from RNAcentral. Lineage: Eukaryota; Viridiplantae; Streptophyta; Magnoliopsida; Solanales; Solanaceae.